AAUCAACGCUGGCGGCGCGCUUAACACAUGCAAGUCGAGCGAGAAAGCGGGAGCAAUCCCGUGAGUACAGCGGCGCACGGGUGAGUAACACGUGGAUGAUCUGCCUCCGAGUGGGGAAUAACUCUGGGAAACCGGAGCUAAGACCGCAUACGCCUGAGAAGGGAAAGCCGCAAGGCGCUCGGAGAGGAGUCCGCGGCCGAUUAGCUAGUUGGUAGGGUAAGAGCCUACCAAGGCGGGGAUCGGUAGCCGGCCUGAGAGGGCACACGGCCACACUGGC
This 277-nucleotide ribosomal RNA is filed under the name uncultured bacterium. RNAcentral's name for it is "partial 16S ribosomal RNA". It matches the Rfam family "Bacterial small subunit ribosomal RNA", at positions 29 to 317 of the family's 1533-position model. The record is from RNAcentral.